Molecule: small RNA, 28 nt
Filed under: Bombyx mori (domestic silkworm)
Lineage: Eukaryota; Metazoa; Arthropoda; Insecta; Lepidoptera; Bombycidae
Description: ovarian small RNA-37827
Source: RNAcentral
UUGCCACGUGGACAUCAUGGCGACCAUG